GAGUCGCAGAUUCGACCACCAAUCGCCGCCUCUAUUUUCGUAGACGUCGAGCCGGAGAGACGGGUCGCGCCUAUCGCGUGUUUCAGUGCGGCUUAGACUUCCAGUCGGACGGAGUCUCGGCCUGUUUCCAAACCCGACCAGCGAUACGAACUUCAUAUUAGAAAUUGUAGCCAGAAUAUUUAUGGAGAGACAAUUUUCCUUUUUAAGAAACAAAAAGUGACGUAAAUAGCACAAGCGUAAAACGGAUAUCGAAGAACUUCUGAUAAACCGGAGACUCAGAUAAUUGCCGGAGACACCGUUAUCAAGACCGAACGGAAAUAUUUUAUCGGUUACAAGCUAGUUCGUAGAGAGAGAGAGAGAGA
This is a long non-coding RNA of Dinoponera quadriceps, 362 nucleotides long. RefSeq lists it as uncharacterized. NCBI's taxonomy places the organism in Eukaryota, Metazoa, Arthropoda, Insecta, Hymenoptera, Formicidae. The transcript is spliced from 2 exons. The record is from RefSeq and is a predicted model, not a curated record.